Molecule: ribosomal RNA, 923 nt
Filed under: uncultured bacterium
Lineage: Bacteria
Description: bacterial SSU rRNA
Rfam family: Bacterial small subunit ribosomal RNA
Source: RNAcentral
AGAGUUUGAUCCUGGCUCAGGAUGAACGCUAGCGGCGGGCUUAAUACAUGCAAGUCAAGGGGUAGCAAUACACCGGCGUACGGGUGCGUAACGCGUAUGGAACCUGCCCUUAUCUGGGGGAUAACUCGGGGAAACUCGAGCUAAUACCGCAUAAGAUAGUAGAAUGGCAUCAUUCAGCUAUUAAAGAUUUAUUGGAUAAGGAUGGCCAUGCGUAAGAUUAGAUAGUUGGCGAGGUAACGGCUCACCAAGUCUACGAUCUUUAGGGGCUCUGAGAGGAGAAUCCCCCACACUGGCACUGAGAUACGGGCCAGACUCCUACGGGAGGCAGCAGUAGGGAAUAUUGGGCAAUGGGCGGAAGCCUGACCCAGCCACGCCGCGUGCAGGAAGACGGCCCUCUGGGUUGUAAACUGCUUUUAACUGGGAAGAAAAGAGGCCUUGCGAGGCAAGUUGACGGUACCAGUUGAAUAAGCCACGGCUAACUACGUGCCAGCAGCCGCGGUAAUACGUAGGUGGCGAGCGUUAUCCGGAUUUAUUGGGUUUAAAGGGAGCGUAGGCGGCUGAUUAAGUCAGCGGUGAAAGGUAGCAGCUUAACUGUUUUACAUGCCGUUGAUACUGGUUAGCUUGAGUUGACAGAAGGCAGAUAGAAUUCCUGAUGUAGCGGUGAAAUGCUUAGAUAUCAGGAGGAAUACCGAUUGCGAAGGCAGUCUGCUGCAGUCACACUGACGCUGAGGCUCGAAGGUGCGGGGAUCAAACAGGAUUAGAUACCCUGGUAGUCCGCACAGUAAACGAUGAUUACUAGAUGUUGGCCAAGCCAGUGUCCAAGGAAACCGAUAGUAAUCCACCUGGGGAGUACGCCGGCACGGUGAACUCAAGGAUUGACGGGGGUCCGCACAGCGGUGGAGCAUGUGGUUUAAUUCGAUGAU